UACGUAGGGGGCUAGCGUUGUCCGGAAUCAUUGGGCGUAAAGCGCGUGUAGGCGGUCCGGUAAGUCCGCUGUGAAAGUCGGGGGCUCAACCCUCGGAUGCCGGUGGAUACUGUCGGGCUUGAGUACGGAAGAGGCGAGUGGAAUUCCUGGUGUAGCGGUGAAAUGCUCAGAUAUCAGGAGGAACACCAAUUGCGAAGGCAGCUCGCUGGGACGUUACUGACGCUGAGACGCGAAAGCGUGGGGAGCAAACAGG
RNAcentral lists this ribosomal RNA (253 nucleotides) under uncultured bacterium. Its description in RNAcentral is "partial 16S ribosomal RNA". It matches the Rfam family "Bacterial small subunit ribosomal RNA", at positions 524 to 776 of the family's 1533-position model. The record is from RNAcentral.